UGUGGUGGUAAACGGAGGCGUUCUCGAAGUGUCCGUGGGGGACUCAAGCUUGGUGGCGGGCAGCCGGCGCUCCUUGAUCAGCAAUGACUGGGUGUGUCGUGCAGGCUUGCCUCCCGGCCGCACUUUCCCCGCGGUUGACGGCAGGAACUGUUGGGACCGGACCAAAGGCCUGGGAUGAAGUUGCUUGCCCUCACGGGCUUGUAGCUCCCGGUGUCCUGGCUUC
This 223-nucleotide ribosomal RNA is filed under the name Boeckella poppei. RNAcentral's name for it is "partial large subunit ribosomal RNA". The record is from RNAcentral. Lineage: Eukaryota; Metazoa; Arthropoda; Copepoda; Calanoida; Centropagidae.